AGCGAACGCUGGCGGCAGGCCUAACACAUGCAAGUCGAACGAACCUUUCGGGGUUAGUGGCGGACGGGUGAGUAACACGUGGGAACGUGCCUUUAGGUUCGGAAUAACUCAGGGAAACUUGUGCUAAUACCGAAUGUGCCCUUCGGGGGAAAGAUUAAUCGCCUUUAGAGCGGCCCGCGUCUGAUUAGCUGGUUGGUUGAGGUAAUGGCUCACCAAGGCGACGAUCAGUAGCUGGUCUGAGAGGAAGUUCAGCCACAUUGGGACUGAGACACGGCCCAAACUCCUACAGGACGCAGCAGUGCGGAAUCUUGCGCAAUGCGCGAAAGCCUGACGCAGCCAUGCCGCGUGAAUGAUGAAGGUCUUAGGAUUGUAAACUUCUUUCACCGGGGACGAUAAUGACGGUACCCGGAGAAGAAGCCCCGGCUAACUUCGUG
This 434-nucleotide ribosomal RNA is filed under the name uncultured bacterium. RNAcentral's name for it is "partial 16S ribosomal RNA". It matches the Rfam family "Bacterial small subunit ribosomal RNA", at positions 29 to 507 of the family's 1533-position model. The record is from RNAcentral.